UCUCUCUUUAAGGUGCUUACAGCUGGGAGAUCAGUACAAAGACUCAGAGCCUUAGUCAUCUAGCUUCUUACCUUGUGAUGGAAAGUAUGCAAAUGACCUGUCCAGAAGACAUCAGGCUGUGGAAAUCCGAUCCAGUCAGAGUCCCUCCAGUGCCAGAGAUGCACGUCCUGCACGAGCUGCUGCUGCUGGGACGGCUGUGGGACGGGGGCCUCCAUGGUGCCCACCGAGCUGGUGUCGUCGGAAAGAGACGUAAAUGAAACCCGGGAGGAGAGCUGCUCGACGGUCAGAGUGGCCAGGGCUGAGCUCUGGCCUGAGUUAGGAGAGUUCUUGAGCAUCAGGUCGGAGGCAGGGCACACGUGAAACGGAAGAUUUUGGCACUGCUAUAUUUGACAGUGGCAUAGGGACUGAUCUUGAUCCAGCAGCCU
Lutra lutra (Eurasian river otter) is the source of this 425-nucleotide long non-coding RNA. RefSeq lists it as uncharacterized. The record is from RefSeq and is a predicted model, not a curated record. The transcript has 3 exons. NCBI's taxonomy places the organism in Eukaryota, Metazoa, Chordata, Mammalia, Carnivora, Mustelidae.